RNAcentral lists this long non-coding RNA (1066 nucleotides) under Dasypus novemcinctus (nine-banded armadillo). RNAcentral describes it as "lncRNA (ENSDNOG00000049888.1)". The record is from RNAcentral. Lineage: Eukaryota; Metazoa; Chordata; Mammalia; Cingulata; Dasypodidae.
CCGGGCACCCCGCCGGCUCCCGCCCGCGCCCCGCGCCCGCUUACCUGCCGGGGUCGCUCCGAAGACUCGCACCACCGGCACCUUCUUGACAAGGGCAUGGGUGAGGGGAGAUUGGCAGAUAUCCAGCCCCUGCAGCGGGCUGGCCAUGUAGAAGUCGGCAGUCACUAUCCUCAUUGAAAACAUGUUCGCCGCCGCCGCCGCCACCGCCUCCCCUUCACUAGCGACUCGACAGCGGCAGCGGCAGCGGCAGCGGCGGCGGCGGCUCUCUCCGCAGCGGAGGCCCCACAACAGCGGCGCGACGCCCCCUCCCCUCACACUCAGACACCGUGAGGAGCGGUGGCGGGCGGGGCGGUGUUGGUACUGCUGCUGCCACCUCCUCAGGAGGACCCGGCGAGGGGCAGCAGGAGAGAAACCCUCGCACUUUCGUCGGUGCUAGCGUUGCCGCCACUGCCGCCGCCGCCGGGGAUCACACGGGUUCCGCGGUCCCAGGCUGCAGCUCUUGUUGCCAUGAUGAUGAUGUCACGGACGCAACCACUGGGGGAGGGGAGAAGGGGGUUGUGUGUGUGGCGGAGGGAGGGCUGUGAGUAGCUGGGGGAGGGAACGCGGCGGGAAAGGGAGGGGAGCCGGACGGGCGCCCGAGCGGGACACCGAGGGGGCGCCAAGGGGGUGUUUUCUACCCGCCCUGGGGCACGCAGCAAGGGAAGAGGUAAAUGGAAGCAGGGCCCGCGCCCGGCGCGGGGUAUCGAUGACUCGGCCGGUGGGUACGGCCACCUGGGUUUGGGGCAGCGGAGAGAGCGGCGGAGCGCCGAUAUCAUGGAUGUGCUCCAAGGGGCUCGCGGGAGGAGGGCGCCAGUGUUCUGGGCCCUUUUGGCGGUUACGCGGGAUUGGCCGAAGCUGCGGCCCUCGCGCUCGCCUCGCCGACCGCCAUUUCACAUUCUUGCUUGGAGGAGGGGGCAGCGACGGAGAAGGUUUUUUACAAGCUCUGAAAUUGGAAACAGUACAGGGUGCUCUUCAGCUGAUCAGGGAACAAGAACCUUUUCUGAAGGGCUGGCUGAGUGGUGGGUAA